AGACCACCAGCUAAGGUCCCAAAAUAUAUGUUAAGUGGAAAAGGAUGUGGCGUUGCCCAGACAACUAGGAUGUUGGCUUAGAAGCAGCCAUCAUUUAAAGAGUGCGUAAUAGCUCACUAGUCGAGUGACACUGCGCCGAAAAUGUACCGGGGCUAAACAUAUUACCGAAGCUGUGGAUUGUCCUUUGGACAAUGGUAGGAGAGCGUUCUAAGGGCGUUGAAGCAUGAUCGUAAGGACAUGUGGAGCGCUUAGAAGUGAGAAUGCCGGUGUGAGUAGCGAAAGACGGGUGAGAAUCCCGUCCACCGAUUGACUAAGGUUUCCAGAGGAAGGCUCGUCCGCUCUGGGUUAGUCGGGUCCUAAGCUGAGGCCGACAGGCGUAGGCGAUGGAUAACAGGUUGAUAUUCCUGUACCACCUAUAAUCGUUUUAAUCGAUGGGGGGACGCAGUAGGAUAGGCGAAGCGUGCGAUUGGAUUGCACGUCUAAGCAGUAAGGCUGAGUAUUAGGCAAAUCCGGUACUCGUUAAGGCUGAGCUGUGAUGGGGAGAAGACAUUGUGUCUUCGAGUCGUUGAUUUCACACUGCCGAGAAAAGCCUCUAGAUAGAAAAUAGGUGCCCGUACCGCAAACCGACACAGGUAGUCAAGAUGAGAAUUCUAAGGUGAGCGAGCGAACUCUCGUUAAGGAACUCGGCAAAAUGACCCCGUAACUUCGGGAGAAGGGGUGCUCUUUAGGGUUAACGCCCAGAAGAGCCGCAGUGAAUAGGCCCAAGCGACUGUUUAUCAAAAACACAGGUCUCUGCUAAACCGUAAGGUGAUGUAUAGGGGCUGACGCCUGCCCGGUGCUGGAAGGUUAAGAGGAGUGGUUAGCUUCUGCGAAGCUACGAAUCGAAGCCCCAGUAAACGGCGGCCGUAACUAUAACGGUCCUAAGGUAGCGAAAUUCCUUGUCGGGUAAGUUCCGACCCGCACGAAAGGCGUAACGAUUUGGGCAC
This 986-nucleotide ribosomal RNA is filed under the name Staphylococcus aureus. RNAcentral's name for it is "partial 23S ribosomal RNA". It matches the Rfam family "Bacterial large subunit ribosomal RNA", at positions 1029 to 2016 of the family's 2925-position model. Lineage: Bacteria; Bacillati; Bacillota; Bacilli; Caryophanales; Staphylococcaceae. The record is from RNAcentral.